UCAGGAAUAUUGGUCAAUGGGUGCAAGCCUGAACCAGCCAUCCCGCGUGAAGGACGACUGCCCUAUGGGUUGUAAACUUCUUUUGUAUAGGGAUAAACCUACCCUCGUGAGGGUAGCUGAAGGUACUAUACGAAUAAGCACCGGCUAACUCCGUGCCAGCAGCCGCGGUAAUACGGAGGGUGCAAGCGUUAUCCGGAUUUAUUGGGUUUAAAGGGUCCGUAGGCGGACUUAUAAGUCAGUGGUGAAAGCCUGUCGCUUAACGAUAGAACUGCCAUUGAUACUGUAAGUCUUGAGUAUAUUUGAGGUAGCUGGAAUAAGUAGUGUAGCGGUGAAAUGCAUAGAUAUUACUUAGAACACCAAUUGCGAAGGCAGGUUACCAAGAUAUAACUGACGCUGAGGGACGAAAGCGUGGGGAGCGAACA
Molecule: ribosomal RNA, 422 nt
Filed under: uncultured bacterium
Lineage: Bacteria
Description: bacterial SSU rRNA
Rfam family: Bacterial small subunit ribosomal RNA
Source: RNAcentral